This 325-nucleotide ribosomal RNA is filed under the name uncultured eukaryote. RNAcentral's name for it is "partial 18S ribosomal RNA". It matches the Rfam family "Eukaryotic small subunit ribosomal RNA", at positions 1470 to 1796 of the family's 1831-position model. The record is from RNAcentral.
CCCUUAGAUGUCCUGGGCCGCACGCGCGCUACACUGAUGCAUUCAACGAGUUUUUCCUUGGCCGAGAGGCCUGGGCAAUCUUGUGAACGUGCAUCGUGAUAGGGAUAGAUUCUUGCAAUUAUUAAUCUUGAACGAGGAAUUCCUAGUAAACGCAGAUCAUCAAUCUGCAUUGAUUACGUCCCUGCCCUUUGUACACACCGCCCGUCGCACCUACCGAUUGAAUGGUCCGGUGAAGCCUCGAGAUUGUGGCUAGCUUGCUUCAUUGCGAGUUAGUUGCGAGAACUUGUCUAAACCUUAUCAUUUAGAGGAAGGUGAAGUCGUAACA